This 884-nucleotide ribosomal RNA is filed under the name Ophiotaenia sp. PBI-678. RNAcentral describes it as "partial 16S ribosomal RNA". The stretch from base 582 to 884 matches the Rfam family "Bacterial large subunit ribosomal RNA", at positions 2049 to 2646 of the family's 2925-position model. Lineage: Eukaryota; Metazoa; Platyhelminthes; Cestoda; Proteocephalidea; Proteocephalidae. The record is from RNAcentral.
URCCUUUUGCAUCAUGCUUAGAUGAUUUUAUGAAUAAUUAUUCUUUAACCGAAAGUUCUGGAUUUCUUUUAUAGUUGCUUAGGGUCAAAUUCGGGUAGAAGUUACUAUAAACUAUAGGAGUGGUGUGAAAAAUUAAACGUCAGAAUUUAUAACUGUUUAACAACCAGUGAAUUUAAGUUAUUUGCAGGGCUAUAAGGUCCUGCAGAAUAGUAUAUUUACAUUUUCUUGAUACCAUAAUAGGGUUAAAAGUACCCAUUUAUUCUAACAUUGUUCAAAAGUUAGUGUUAAGGUGUGUAUAAUUACUUUAAUCGGUUGUUUACUUUAAUCGUUAGCGUAUAAGAAUAUCUAAAUAAGUAAUAAAAUAAAAAUAACUAUUUCUCAAGUAUUGCCCGUCUGUUUAUUAAAAACAUUUCCAUAUAAAAUUGUUUAUGGUAGCACCUGCUCUAUGCAUUAACUAGUAAAUGGCCGCAGUAUCUUGACUGUGCGAAGGUAGCAUAAUUAAUUGCCUUAUAAUUGAAGGCUUGUUUGAAUGGUUUGACGUGGUGAUUACAAAUAAUUAUUUUUUAAGUGAAAUUGGUUUGGGGUGCACAGAAUCCCCCUACCUUAAUUAGACGGAAAGACCCCAGGAUCUUUCGUUUUUAUCUGGGGCAGAUCAAAAUUUUUCAUUUUGAUUUUGACCCUUUUUAGUUUAGUGGGUUAAGUUACCCUGGGGAUAACAGUGUAAUAGUUUAUUAGAGGUCUUAUCGAAUAAACUGAUUGCUACCUCGAUGUUGACUUAGGUAAAUAGAUUAGGCGCAGCAGUCUAAUUUUUUGGUCUGUUCGACCAGAUAUACCUCCAUGAGUUGAGUUAAGACCGGCGCGAGCCAGGUCGGUUCUUAUCUAUU